CUGGAAAAGCGCUUAAUUUAAUCCUAAAUUAGAAAGGAGAUCAUUAAGAAUAUCUUUAUGAGGAAAAGUCAUCUGACGAGGACCACAACAUGGGAGGAUCCGCGAAAAACAGCAGCAGCCGUGAGUGUUGCAGCCGUUGCAGCAGCGGUAGAAAGCGGAAAAACUGCUACGGCUAGCAGCACUCUUGGCCCUCUUCCCGAUGGGUGGGAGCAAGCAAGAACUUCCGAGGGUGAAAUUUAUUUUAUAAACCAUCAGACCCGCACCACCUCCUGGUUUGACCCAAGGAUUCCGUCACAUCUCCAGCGAGCUCCCACAUCUGGAGCAAUGCUGCCACAAAAUUGGAUACAGCAACCCGGUGCAGGGGCCAUUCCAAGUAAUCAAACCCUUCAAGCCUGUCAACAAAAAUUGCGACUGCAAUCCCUUCAAAUGGAGCGUGAGCGUCUUAAACAGCGUCAGCAAGAGAUUAUGCGCCAGCAAGAAUUAAUGAUCCGGCAAAGUACGACCGAUGCUGCGAUGGAUCCAUUUUUAUCCGGCAUUAGUGAACAACAUGCGCGUCAAGAAAGUGCAGAUAGUGGUUUAGGACUUGGAUCGGCGUAUUCUCUACCUCAUACGCCCGAGGAUUUUCUCGCUAAUAUUGACGAUAAUAUGGACGGCACGAGCGGUCGACGGUGGAGCGCCGAUGGAAACGCCUGAUUUAUCUACUUUAAGCGACAACAUUGAUUCAACGGACGACCUCGUGCCUUCACUUCAGCUUGGCGAAGAAUUCACCAAUGACAUUCUGGAUGAUGUGCAGUCGCUAAUAAAUCCAAACACUAGUAAACCAGAAAAUGUCCUGACGUGGCUGUAGUAUUGGACGGUAAAAUCACAUUCGAAGCGUUAUCGCCAAUAUUAAAAAAAGAAAAUUUAUCGAGGGAUUUUAGACUUUAUCCGAAAACCGUCGCUUCCAUUGGGACAUAAGUGCACCAUAGCUCCGGGUUAAAAAGCCCAUUCCACACACACAAACUCAUUUAUGCGUGUAUGUGUGUACGCGCUUGUAAAUCAAACCAAGUGUACAUAUCUCUGUAUUCUUUCAAUUGUAGCGAGAAACAACCGUGAAAUCGGGAAAGAACGACAAUAAUUUUUCUAUCUGACGAAUGAAUUAAUAAAAACGACCCGCGCCUUCUUUCAUGGUCGGUUUCAAAACAUGAUCACCAUUAUUGUAAAAUCCAGCUCAAUUCUGGUAUCAUGACAUAUCAGAUUCAGAU
RNA transcript from Belonocnema kinseyi, 1244 nucleotides. It is a transcript of the gene named transcriptional coactivator YAP1-like, with no coding region annotated. Lineage: Eukaryota; Metazoa; Arthropoda; Insecta; Hymenoptera; Cynipidae. The record is from RefSeq and is a predicted model, not a curated record. The transcript has 6 exons.